RNAcentral lists this ribosomal RNA (253 nucleotides) under uncultured bacterium. Its description in RNAcentral is "partial 16S ribosomal RNA". It matches the Rfam family "Bacterial small subunit ribosomal RNA", at positions 524 to 776 of the family's 1533-position model. The record is from RNAcentral.
UACGUAGGGGGCUAGCGUUGUCCGGAUUUAUUGGGCGUAAAGAGCGUGUAGGCGGCCAGGUAGGUCUGCUGUGAAAACUCGAGGCUCAACCUCGAGACGUCGGCGGAAACCAUCUGGCUAGAGUCCGGAAGAGGAGAGUGGAAUUCCUGGUGUAGCGGUGAAAUGCGCAGAUAUCAGGAAGAACACCCGUGGCGAAGGCGGCUCCCUGGGACGGUACUGGCGCUGAGACGCGAAAGCGUGGGGAGCGAACAGG